RNAcentral lists this ribosomal RNA (179 nucleotides) under uncultured bacterium. RNAcentral's name for it is "partial 16S ribosomal RNA". It matches the Rfam family "Bacterial small subunit ribosomal RNA", at positions 1325 to 1500 of the family's 1533-position model. The record is from RNAcentral.
GCUGGAAUCGCUAGUAAUCGCGAAUCAGAAUGUCGCGGUGAAUACGUUCCCGGGUCUUGUACACACCGCCCGUCACACCAUGGGAGGUCGGAAAUGCCCGAAGUCUGUGACCCAACCUGAGAGGGAGGGAGCAGCCGAAGGCAGGUCUGAUGACUGGGGUGAAGUCGUAACAAGGUAAC